UACGUAGGCAGCGAGCGUUGUUCGGAGUUACUGGGCGUAAAGCGUGCGUAGGCGGUUUUCUAAGUUUGGUGUGAAAUCUCCCGGCUCAACUGGGAGGGUGCGCCGAAGACUGGGAGACUGGAGUGUGGGAGAGGUAGGCGGAAUUCCUGGUGUAGCGGUGAAAUGCGUAGAUAUCAGGAGGAACACCUGUGGUGUAGACGGCUUACUGGACCAUGACUGACGCUGAGGCACGAAAGCGUGGGGAGCAAACAGG
Molecule: ribosomal RNA, 253 nt
Filed under: uncultured bacterium
Lineage: Bacteria
Description: partial 16S ribosomal RNA
Rfam family: Bacterial small subunit ribosomal RNA
Source: RNAcentral